This 468-nucleotide ribosomal RNA is filed under the name uncultured bacterium. Its description in RNAcentral is "partial 16S ribosomal RNA". It matches the Rfam family "Bacterial small subunit ribosomal RNA", at positions 28 to 507 of the family's 1533-position model. The record is from RNAcentral.
GACGAACGCUGGCGGCGUGCUUAACACAUGCAAGUCGAACGGAAAGGCCCUGCUUUUGUGGGGUGCUCGAGUGGCGAACGGGUGAGUAACACGUGAGUAACCUGCCCUUGACUUUGGGAUAACUUCAGGAAACUGGGGCUAAUACCGGAUAGGAGCUCCUGCUGCAUGGUGGGGGUUGGAAAGUUUCGGCGGUUGGGGAUGGACUCGCGGCUUAUCAGCUUGUUGGUGGGGUAGUGGCUUACCAAGGCUUUGACGGGUAGCCGGCCUGAGAGGGUGACCGGCCACAUUGGGACUGAGAUACGGCCCAGACUCCUACGGGAGGCAGCGGUGGGGAAUAUUGCACAAUGGGCGGAAGCCUGAUGCAGUAACGCCGCGUGCGGGAUGACGGCCUUCGGGUUGUAAACCGCUUUCGCCUGUGACGAAGCGUGAGUGACGGUAAUGGGUAAAGAAGCACCGGCUAACUACGUG